This 505-nucleotide ribosomal RNA is filed under the name uncultured bacterium. RNAcentral's name for it is "partial 16S ribosomal RNA". It matches the Rfam family "Bacterial small subunit ribosomal RNA", at positions 28 to 507 of the family's 1533-position model. The record is from RNAcentral.
GACGAACGCUGGCGGCGUGCCUAAUACAUGCAAGUAGAACGCACAGUUUAUACCGUAGCUUGCUACACCAUAGACUGUGAGUUGCGAACGGGUGAGUAACGCGUAGGUAACCUGCCUGGUAGCGGGGGAUAACUAUUGGAAACGAUAGCUAAUACCGCAUAAUAUUGAUUAUUGCAUGAUAAUUGAUUGAAAGAUGCUAUUGCAUCACUACCAGAUGGACCUGCGUUGUAUUAGCUAGUAGGUGAGGUAACGGCUCACCUAGGCGACGAUACAUAGCCGACCUGAGAGGGUGAUCGGCCACACUGGGACUGGGACACGGCCCAGACUCCUACGGGAGGCAGCAGUAGGGAAUCUUCGGCAAUGGACGAAAGUCUGACCGAGCAACGCCGCGUGAGUGAAGAAGGUUUUCGGAUCGUAAAGCUCUGUUGUAAGAGAAGAACGGGUGUGAGAGUGGAAAGUUCACACUGUGACGGUAUCUUACCAGAAAGAGACGGCUAACUACGUG